UACGAAGGGGGCUAGCGUUGUUCGGAUUUACUGGGCGUAAAGCGCACGUAGGCGGGUUGUUAAGUCAGGGGUGAAAUCCUGGAGCUCAACUCCAGAACUGCCUUUGAUACUGGCAACCUAGAGGCUGGGAGAGGUUAGUGGAAUUCCCAGUGUAGAGGUGAAAUUCGUAGAUAUUGGGAAGAACACCAGUGGCGAAGGCGGCUAACUGGUCCAGAUCUGACGCUGAGGUGCGAAAGCGUGGGGAGCAAACAGG
RNAcentral lists this ribosomal RNA (253 nucleotides) under uncultured bacterium. RNAcentral's name for it is "partial 16S ribosomal RNA". It matches the Rfam family "Bacterial small subunit ribosomal RNA", at positions 524 to 776 of the family's 1533-position model. The record is from RNAcentral.